This 468-nucleotide ribosomal RNA is filed under the name uncultured bacterium. Its description in RNAcentral is "partial 16S ribosomal RNA". It matches the Rfam family "Bacterial small subunit ribosomal RNA", at positions 28 to 507 of the family's 1533-position model. The record is from RNAcentral.
GACGAACGCUGGCGGCGUGCUUAACACAUGCAAGUCGAACGGAAAGGCCCUGCUUUUGUGGGGUGCUCGAGUGGCGAACGGGUGAGUAACACGUGAGUAACCUGCCCUUGACUUUGGGAUAACUUCAGGAAACUGGGGCUAAUACCGGAUAGGAGCUCCUGCUGCAUGGUGGGGGUUGGAAAGUUUCGGCGGUUGGGGAUGGACUCGCGGCUUAUCAGCUUGUUGGUGGGGUAGUGGCUUACCAAGGCUUUGACGGGUAGCCGGCCUGAGAGGGUGACCGGCCACAUGGGGACUGAGAUACGGCCCAGACUCCUACGGGAGGCAGCAGUGGGGAAUAUUGCACAAUGGGCGGAAGCCUGAUGCAGCAACGCCGCGCGCGGGAUGACGGCCUUCGGGUUGUAAACCGCUUUCGCCUGUGACGAAGCGUGAGUGACGGUAAUGGGUAAAGAAGCACCGGCUAACUACGUG